This 376-nucleotide ribosomal RNA is filed under the name uncultured bacterium. RNAcentral describes it as "bacterial SSU rRNA". It matches the Rfam family "Bacterial small subunit ribosomal RNA", at positions 524 to 898 of the family's 1533-position model. The record is from RNAcentral.
GACGUAGGAUGCAAGCGUUGUCCGGAUUUAUUGGGCGUAAAGAGUUCGUAGGUGGUUUGUUAAGUCUGAUGUUAAAGACCGGGGCUCAACCUCGGAAGUGCAUUGGAUACUGGCAGACUCGAGUAUGGUAGAGGCGAGUGGAAUUCCCAGUGUAGCGGUGAAAUGCGUAGAUAUUGGGAAGAACACCGGUGGCGCAAGCGACUCGCUGGGCCAUUACUGACACUGAGGAACGAAAGCUAGGGGAGCAAAUGGGAUUAGAUACCCCAGUAGUCCUAGCUGUAAACGAUGGAUACUAGGCGUAUCGGGUAUCGACCCCUGAUGUGCCGCAGCUAACGCGAUAAGUAUCCCGCCUGAGUAGUACGGCCGCAAGGUUGAA